UAACAAGGAUUCCCCUAGUAACGGCGAGUGAAGCGGGAACAGCUCAAAUUUGAAAUCUGGCGGUCUACGGCCGUCCGAGUUGUAGUCUAGAGAGGCGUCUUCCGCGUCGGACCGUGUACAAGUCCCUUGGGAUAGGGCGUCGUAGAGGGUGAGAACCCCGUCCAGGACACGGACCCCCGAUGCUCUGUGAUGCGCCUUCGAAGAGUCGAGUUGUUUGGGAAUGCAGCUCAAAACGGGUGGUAAAUUCCAUCUAAAGCUAAAUACCGGCGGGAGACCGAUAGCGAACAAGUACCGUGAGGGAAAGAUGAAAAGCACUUUGGAAAGAGAGUUAAACAGUACGUGAAAUUGUUGAAAGGGAAACGCUUGGAGUCAGUCGCGUCCGCGGGGAUUCAGCCGGGCUUUUGUCCGGCGCACUUCUCAACGGAUGGGCCAGCAUCGAUUUCGGCCGCCGGAAAAGGGUCGGAGGAAUGUGGCACCCUCGGGUGCGUUAUAGCCUCCGGUCGCACACGGUGGCCGGGAUCGAGGACAGCAGCGCGCCUCAGCGGCCGGGGUUCGUCCCACGCACGCGCUUAGGAUGCUGGCGUAAUGGCUUYAAACGACCCGUCUUGAA
RNAcentral lists this ribosomal RNA (610 nucleotides) under Protomerulius sp. Zhou 60. Its description in RNAcentral is "eukaryotic LSU rRNA". It matches the Rfam family "Eukaryotic large subunit ribosomal RNA", at positions 66 to 658 of the family's 3401-position model. Lineage: Eukaryota; Fungi; Basidiomycota; Agaricomycetes; Auriculariales; Hyaloriaceae. The record is from RNAcentral.